GAUGAAGAACGUAGCGAAAUGCGACAAGUAAUGUGAAUUGCAGAAUUCCGUGAAUCAUCGAAUCUUUGAACGCACAUUGCGCCCCUUGGUAUUCCAUGGGGCAUGCCUGUUCGAGCGUCAUUUGUACCUUCAAGCUCUGCUUGGUGUUGGGUGUUUGUCUCGCCUCUGCGUGUAGACUCGCCUCAAAACAAUUGGCAGCCGGCGUAUUGAUUUCGGAGCGCAGUACAUCUCGCGCUUUGCACUCAUAACGACGACGUCCAAAAGUACAUUUUUACACUCUUGACCUCGGAUCAGGUAGGGAUACCCGCUGAACUUAAGCAUAUCAAUAAGCGGAGGA
This 337-nucleotide unclassified non-coding RNA is filed under the name soil metagenome. Its description in RNAcentral is "partial contains 5.8S ribosomal RNA, internal transcribed spacer 2, and large subunit ribosomal RNA". The stretch from base 1 to 120 matches the Rfam family "5.8S ribosomal RNA", at positions 35 to 154 of the family's 154-position model. The record is from RNAcentral.